RNAcentral lists this ribosomal RNA (460 nucleotides) under uncultured bacterium. RNAcentral describes it as "partial 16S ribosomal RNA". It matches the Rfam family "Bacterial small subunit ribosomal RNA", at positions 338 to 795 of the family's 1533-position model. The record is from RNAcentral.
CCUACGGGUGGCAGCAGUGAGGAAUAUUGGUCAAUGGACGAGAGUCUGAACCAGCCAAGUAGCGUGAAGGAUGACUGCCCUAUGGGUUGUAAACUUCUUUUAUAUGGGAAUAAAACGUUCCACGUGUGGGAUUUUGUAUGUACCAUAUGAAUAAGGAUCGGCUAACUCCGUGCCAGCAGCCGCGGUAAUACGGAGGAUCCGCGCGUUAUCCGGAUUUAUUGGGUUUAAAGGUAGCGUAGGUGGAUUGUUAAGUAAGUUGUGAAAGUUUGCGGCUCAACCGUAAAAUUGCAGUUGAAACUGGCAGUCUGGAGUACAGUAGAGGUGGGCGGAAUUCGUGGUGUAGCGGUGAAAUGCUGAGAUAUCACGAAGAACUCCGAUUGCGAAGGCAGUUCACUGGACUGCAACUGACACUGAGGCUCGAAAGUGUGGGUAUCAAACAGGAUUAGAUACCCCUGUAGUC